GACUUACUAAGCUUUCUUAAAAUUUUAAACUUUAGGGAAGACAUAUAAGGAAUUUGCAUAAGUCAACUGUACAAAAUGGUGCUGGAGGGGCCUUAUUUGUGCACAGAGAUACUCCUGAGAAUAACCCAGAUACCCCAUUUGAUUUCACACCAGAAAACUAUAAGAGGAUAGAGGCAAUUGUUAAAAACUAUCCAGAAGGGCAUAAAGCAGCAGCUGUGCUUCCAGUUCUGGAUUUAGCACAAAGGCAAAAUGGGUGGUUGCCUAUCUCUGCUAUGAACAAGGUACUUAAUUCAUUUUUGCUUUAGAAAUGACAGAUUGUGUGUGAUAGAUAACUACCUAUCUAGAAAUCACUGAUAAUCAUUAAUGUCAGAACUCAGAAGUUUAGAGCCCCUUAGUCAUGUAUGCCUCUUUGAAUUAUAUUUAUGUUUUUGUUCGUUUCCUUAAUACAGCUUCUAUUCUUGUAGGA
Molecule: non-coding RNA, 466 nt
Organism: Castor canadensis (American beaver)
Lineage: Eukaryota; Metazoa; Chordata; Mammalia; Rodentia; Castoridae
Source: RefSeq, a predicted model, not a curated record